GGCCUCUCCUCCUCUCUCUCUCUCUCCUGUCUCUUAUAAGGACCUCUGUUGUUGGAUUGAAAGCCGUCCCAGGCCCAAUUCAGGAUGAGCUCAGCUGGAGACCCUUAACCUAACAACAUCUACAAAGAGAGAGAAAGCAAGAUGGUGGAACAGAAGAACAUGGAGUUCAGCUCCUGCCGCAGAUACAUCAAAAAUACAUCUACUAGUGGAACAGUUUCCACAGAGUACCUUACUGGAUGCUGUCAAAAGACAUCAGACACCCGGAAGUGCAAGAAAGAUCUCCUCGUAACCAGGUUUUAUCUUUACAUGCCGCCCUCGAAAAUUUCCACCUUGAAGCCGGUAGCCCCGUAAAGCGAUUCAUAAGGACGUAAACCUCUGACAGCUUCACUCCCCAGGAGCAGCGCAGGGACCUCGGUUGUUGGAUUGAGCUCAGCUGGAGACCCUUAACCUAAUAACAUCUAGAAAGAGAGAGAAAGCAAGAUGGCGGAACAGAAGGACGUGGAGUUCAGCUCCUGCCGCAGAUACAUCAAAAAUACAUCUACUAGUGGAACAGUUCCCACAGAAUACCUUACCGGACGCUGGCAAAAGACAUCAGACACCCGGAAGUGCAAGAAAGAUCUCUUCGUAACCGGGUAGGACAAAAGAAAAGAGGAAUCAGCACAGGCCCUGCACCCCUGGGAGGAAGCUGGAAAAGAGGAAAGUUUCCCACACCCUGGGAAGCCCCAUCGCUGGGAGGGACAUCAGCCGGGACAGAGGGGGAGCUUCCGAGGCUCAGAGGAGAGCGCAGCGGCAGGUGGGGGCAGCCAGAACGGAGAGAGGCUGGCACGGGGGUUCCGAGGCGCCUCGCUGCACCCC
Non-coding RNA from Delphinapterus leucas (beluga whale), 855 nucleotides. The record is from RefSeq and is a predicted model, not a curated record. NCBI's taxonomy places the organism in Eukaryota, Metazoa, Chordata, Mammalia, Artiodactyla, Monodontidae.